This 446-nucleotide ribosomal RNA is filed under the name uncultured bacterium. RNAcentral describes it as "partial 16S ribosomal RNA". It matches the Rfam family "Bacterial small subunit ribosomal RNA", at positions 338 to 795 of the family's 1533-position model. The record is from RNAcentral.
CCUACGGGCGGCAGCAGUCGAGAAUCAUUCACAAUGGGGGAAACCCUGAUGGUGCGACGCCGCGUGGGGGAAUGAAGGUCUUCGGAUUGUAAGCCCCUGUCAUGUGGGAGCAAAUUAAAAAGAUAGUACCACAAGAGGAAGAGACGGCUAACUCUGUGCCAGCAGCCGCGCUAAUACAGAGGGCUCAAGCGUUGUUCGGAAUCACUGGGCGUAAAGGGUGCGUAGGCGGUUGCGUAAGUCGUGUGUGAAAGGCGCGGGCUCAACCCGCGGACGGCACAUGAUACUGCGAGACUAGAGUGAUGGAGGGGGAACCGGAAUUCUCGGUGUAGCAGUGAAAUGCGUAGAUAUCGGGAGGAACACCCGUGGCGAAGGCGGGUUCCUGGACAUUAACUGACGCUGAGGCACGAAGGCCAGGGGAGCGAAAGGGAUUAGAUACCCUAGUAGUC